AUAUAUCUGCCUCACUCUCAGUGAAAUCAGUAGUACUGCUAGGUUUUACACAGUAAUAAUAUAUAUCUGCCUCACUCUCAGAGAAAUCAGUAGUACUGCUAGGUUUUACACAGUAAUAAUAUAUAUCUGCCUCACUCUCAGAGGAAUCAGUAGUACUGCUAGGUUUUACACAGUAAUAAUAUAUAUCUGCCUCACUCUCAGAGAAAUCAGUAGUACUGCUAGGUUUUACACAGUAAUAAUAUAUAUCUGCCUCACUCUCAGAGAAAUCAGUAGUACUGCUAGGUUUUACACAGUAAUAAUAUAUAUCUGCCUCACUCUCAGUGAAAUCAGUAGUACUGCUAGGUUUUACACAGUAAUAAUAUAUAUCUGCCUCACUCUCAGAGAAAUCAGUAGUACUGCUAGGUUUUACACAGUAAUAAUAUAUAUCUGCCUCACUCUCAGAGGAAUCAGUAGUACUGCUAGGUUUUAUACAGUAAUAAUAUAUAUCUGCCUCACUCUCAGAGGAAUCAGUAGUACUGCUAGGUUUUACAC
Molecule: long non-coding RNA, 531 nt
Organism: Oncorhynchus tshawytscha (Chinook salmon)
Lineage: Eukaryota; Metazoa; Chordata; Actinopteri; Salmoniformes; Salmonidae
Source: Ensembl